UACGGAGGGUGCAAGCGUUAUCCGGAUUCACUGGGUUUAAAGGGUGCGUAGGUGGGCAGGUAAGUCCGUGGUGAAAUCUCUGAGCUUAACUCAGAAACUGCCGUGGAUACUAUUUGUCUUGAAUAUUGCGGAGGUGAGCGGAAUAUGUCAUGUAGCGGUGAAAUGCUUAGAUAUGACAUAGAACACCAAUUGCGAAGGCAGCUCACUACACAAUUAUUGACGCUGAGGCACGAAAGCGUGGGGAUCAAACAGG
Molecule: ribosomal RNA, 253 nt
Filed under: uncultured bacterium
Lineage: Bacteria
Description: partial 16S ribosomal RNA
Rfam family: Bacterial small subunit ribosomal RNA
Source: RNAcentral